UGCUAUGCAAAAAAUCUAUGUUAUGAAUGUACCAUCACACUGUUAUAAAAGCAACCUUUUUUUCCUUUAAUAGUGCUUAAAACCUGCUCUGUAAUAUAGCACAUAAGCAUAACGCUAGGCUGGAACUGCCAGAAAUAAAUGCCAGCACUUUCGGAAAUAUUUAAAAACCUUAUUCAUACGAAUCUGGGGUUGAAUUGCAUACAUUUGUAAACCCACUUAUUUAGAGGUGGGAGGAACCUCACUGGAUAUCUGUAAUUGAAAAAUCUUACUUUCAACUAAAACUGAGAAAAGUUUUACCAAUGGGAUGGUACUCGAAACUAGUAACAUAAGUUGUUCCAGCUCCUGUGAACAUUUCUGGAAGACUUCUUAGGUAAUGCACUAGAUCCUAACCCAACUGAAAUUAACUUCAGUUAACUGAAUUUAUAGUUAAAUGACCCUGAAAUGCUGCUCAAGUUCUUACUUUCUAGUAUCUAUGCAAUGUCAUUGUUUAGUAAUUAGAUUUUUCAGUGCUUUAGUGUUCUGGAAGAGACUUCAUCUAUCCAUAAAUGGCUACCAAUUGAUUCUUUUUUAUUCCUGUUUCAUUUUCCAGCUUUCAUAAUAGUGAAUCUAUUUGGACAGAAAAUUAGUGUUUGGAUGGUUUCCAGAGUGACAAUUAUGAAAAAUAGGUGAAUGAAAAUCCUCCAAUGUACUCCAACUGGUUUCCAGUUGAAGUAGUGCAUGAAAAUGGUACUUUAAAAAAGUCAGAAAAAUUUUGGGUUUGUCUGCCAAAAGUCUCAGAAAUCAGGUAUAGAGAUGAAAUUUCAUGUUUUCUGUCAUGGCAGCAGAGUAACUGCAUGAAAUUAAAAAAGGCAAAACUGAGGUUUUCCAGGAUGCAUCAGCUCAGUGCAGGGGCAGGCAAACACCAGACCUGUGCAUGGGAAUACGCAGCUGGAAGAACAGAGAAGCAAGGAAGGAAGAAGUGACAUAGCCUCCUGCUGGCAGUAGUGAACUGCUAGAUUUGCUCAAAUGUCCAAACAAAUGUGUCAGUUCCUGGAAAGACGAGCUGGUGCUUUGCUUCUGCCAUCCUGUCUGCAUCCCAUCUUCCCUUUUUUUAAUUAUUUUCUGCAGGAAACUAAAAUGGAAUAAACCAGUGGGAGAUACAAACUGGGCUCUGAUGUAUUAGUGAUGCUUGAGUUAGGAUUGUGUCAACAUUUUACCGCAUUUCCUGCCUUUUCAUUUUUUUAAGCAGUGACAUGCACUGUGAAAGCUGGAACAAAAUGAAGUGCUUCAGUUAGCUCAAGGGCAGAACUGUUUCUUGCUUGAAAAAUCCUUAUUUUAGACUCUUUGUGAAUGACAAAUAAUAAAUUAACUAUUUUAAGAUACUUGUUAACACUCCUCCUCUCUUAGUCAUAAAGGGAACCAAAUCUAAAACCACUCCAUAGCAAAGCACCCACUUCAGUUUGUAGUCACAGAGAAUUUUUACACACAGAAGUCCAAACUGGCAAACGGGGUUAAAACUGAGGCAUUGCUUUACUUUGACAGUCUUGCUUAAAAUAUAUUAUGGACAUUCAUGCACAUUAGCAGAAGCAUUUGCCUUCUGUAGACAACUGAGAAUAGCAACAGCAAUCACAGACUGGGCUGGGGUGGAGAUGGUCUCUUUCUCCUGAUUUUUUUCUCAUGAGAGACUCUAUUUCUUAAAUCCAAAAAUUCCACUUCUUCCUUUCAUGUCUGGUUGGAGGUUUUUUUUGUUUGGUUUUUUUUUUUUAGAUAUUGCUGUUAGUUUAUCAUCAAAAAGAGGUUUAAGUCUUCAUGCCUGGAGGAUUUCUCUUUAAGCACCAGUACUGUGAUCUUCCCUACAUUUGCUCCUGGAUAGCAAAGUUGAGCUCAGGAAGCUCCCACACCCUUACACUUCAGUUUAUCAUCCUUUUGGUUGUUCCAGAACAAUCAUUUGUGAGGCCAGGCUUUGUGCUGUAAACUGAUCUUUGUACUUUAAAGGGUGAAUGAAUACUGCUGCUCAUCCUUGCACAAGUGUCAAUUAACAUAUCUUGACAAAUUUAAGGGAUUUUAGAUAACAGAUUAGAUCAUGUUUAAUGUAGCCACUUGGAAUCCAAUUGACAUGACUCAAAGAAAGAACAAUCUGCUCUUGUAUGGGUUUAGAUAGAUUGUCUUCUCAUUAUCAAUUUUACAGUGAGUAUGUGUUAGCUUUAUGGGUAAUUUUAUGAUAGUUCUGGAUUCUAUUUCAGAUAUUG
Molecule: long non-coding RNA, 2228 nt
Organism: Pezoporus occidentalis (night parrot)
Lineage: Eukaryota; Metazoa; Chordata; Aves; Psittaciformes; Psittacidae
Exons: 4
Source: RefSeq, a predicted model, not a curated record